GACGAACGCUGGCGGCGUGCUUAACACAUGCAAGUCGAACGGAAAGGCCCUGCUUUUGUGGGGUGCUCGAGUGGCGAACGGGUGAGUAACACGUGAGUAACCUGCCCUUGACUUUGGGAUAACUUCAGGAAACUGGGGCUACUACCGGAUAGGAGCUCCUGCUGCAUGGUGGGGGUUGGAAUGUUUCGGCGGUUGGGGAUGGACUCGCGGCUUAUCAGCUUGUUGGUGGGGUAGUGGCUUACCAAGGCUUUGACGGGUAGCCGGCCUGAGAGGGUGACCGGCCACAUUGGGACUGAGAUACGGCCCAGACUCCUACGGGAGGCAGCAGUGGGGAAUAUUGCACAAUGGGCGGAAGCCGGAGGCAGCAACGCCGCGUGCGGGAUGACGGCCUUCGGGUUGUAAACCGCUUUCGCCUGUGACGAAGCGUGAGUGACGGUAAUGGGUAAAGAAGCACCGGCUAACUACGUG
Molecule: ribosomal RNA, 468 nt
Filed under: uncultured bacterium
Lineage: Bacteria
Description: partial 16S ribosomal RNA
Rfam family: Bacterial small subunit ribosomal RNA
Source: RNAcentral